RNAcentral lists this transfer RNA (56 nucleotides) under Canis lupus familiaris (dog). It matches the Rfam family "tRNA", at positions 10 to 63 of the family's 71-position model. From Rfam's summary of the family: Transfer RNA (tRNA) molecules are approximately 80 nucleotides in length. Their secondary structure includes four short double-helical elements and three loops (D, anti-codon, and T loops). The record is from Rfam by way of RNAcentral. RNAcentral also lists the same sequence under 1 other name. Lineage: Eukaryota; Metazoa; Chordata; Mammalia; Carnivora; Canidae.
GCUCAGUCGGUAGAGCAUGUGACUCUUGAUCUCAGGGUUGUGGGUUUGAGCCCCAC